RNAcentral lists this ribosomal RNA (497 nucleotides) under uncultured bacterium. Its description in RNAcentral is "partial 16S ribosomal RNA". It matches the Rfam family "Bacterial small subunit ribosomal RNA", at positions 30 to 523 of the family's 1533-position model. The record is from RNAcentral.
AUUGAACGCUGGCGGCAUGCUUUACACAUGCAAGUCGAACGGUAACAGGGUGCUUGCACCGCUGACGAGUGGCGAACGGGUGAGUAAUGCGUCGGAACGUGCCGAGUAGUGGGGGAUAACGCAGCGAAAGUUGUGCUAAUACCGCAUACGUACUGAGGUGGAAAGUGGGGGACCUUCGGGCCUCACGCUAUUCGAGCGGCCGACGUCUGAUUAGCUAGUAGGUGAGGUAAAGGCUCACCUAGGCGACGAUCAGUAGCGGGUCUGAGAGGAUGAUCCGCCACACUGGGACUGAGACACGGCCCAGACUCCUGCGGGAGGCAGCAGUGGGGAAUUUUGGACAAUGGGCGAAAGCCUGAUCCAGCCAUGCCGCGUGUCUGAAGAAGGCCUUCGGGUUGUAAAGGACUUUUGUCAGGGAGGAAAUCCCUAGUGCUAAUAACGAGGGAUGAUGAUAGCACUAAAGAAAGCACCGGCUAACUUCGUGCCAGCCGCCGCCGUAA